This 2706-nucleotide ribosomal RNA is filed under the name Rhabdomonas incurva. RNAcentral's name for it is "SSU rRNA". It matches the Rfam family "Eukaryotic small subunit ribosomal RNA". Lineage: Eukaryota; Euglenozoa; Anisonemea; Natomonadida; Astasiidae. The record is from RNAcentral.
GUCAUAUGCUUUGUUCAAGGACUAAGCCAUGCACGCGUGAGAGCAAGUAGCGCGCCUCUACCUAACCUGUCUGCGAAUGGCUCAUUAGACCAGUGACAAUCUCAGCAGGGAGUGUGAAGAAGCCCUCUUCGUGAGGGAGGGAGUUUAAACCUAAACAACCCUCGGGGUUGUGCAAACAGCCUCUGUGACCGGGUUGCAGGACCUAAACCCUCGACGAGCGUGGAACACCCUCUUUUUCUGAAACAGUUGGCUAAUACAUGUGGUGCAGGAUCCCGGUACUUCCUACUCAUCUCUCGGGGUGAGGACGGAUGCACUGGGCUGAAACAAAGAGGUGUUUACCACCCCUCCGGGGGUACAGAUGCCAUAUGUGGAACCAAGCCUACUGUUAUCGGAACUCGAUGGGUACCAUGAACUAACCUGCUGGCUCUCCACCUCGGCACUGCGCUUCGGCGCUUUGCCCGGAGAGAGGCAGGGAAGGUCCCCUCACGAAAGGGUUUCCGCUGCGUGUGAUGCGCUAGUGGGGGAUCUGCGAACACCCACUACCCUGCCUGAGUUUCUGCCCUAUCAGCCGUCCAUUGCGGUCCCGAGGACCACGGUGGCGAUGACGGGUAACGCGGAAUGAGGGUUCGAUUCCGGAGAGGGAGCCUGAAAUACGGCUACUACGACCAAGGUUGGCAGCAGGCGCGCAAAUUGCUCAAUAUCGAUGUGUGUUGGUGAAGCAGCGACGAGGAGUGGUACCAUCAUCGGUCUCAUGACCGGUGUUGGUGGAAUGAAUGACGACCCAAGAAAUGCAGUGAGCAUCCACUUGUGGGCCAGUCUGGUGCCAGCAGCCGCGGUAAUUCCAGCACAAGUGGCAUACUUUGACGUUGUUGCCGUUAAAAAGCUCGUAGUUGGUUGGCAUCCGAGGGACUGCCCUAUGGACCGCCUGGCAACCGCUGAGUGGUCUGUUACGUAAGCCCCUUGAUGUGCCCGCUCUCCCUCGGGAGACGGCCUCCUAACCCAUCCGGGCUCUGGGGGUGCCGUUCUCUCUGGGGGCAGAGCAUCUCAGUGGGAUCGAUUUUCCGAAGAGGAGAGGCGGGUCUGGCCCUAGUCCCCCUUCGCGGGGGGUUCUGGACCGCCGUCUCUCCGCCGUGUAUCCUCUCCUCGGAGAGAGAUACCGUUGUUGGCCUACAUCCUUAAACCAACGCAGCAAAGUGGCCCGAGGGGCUCCCUCAUCUCGGCACGGAAGGAGGAGUGGGGGGAGAGACUUCGGCUCUCUCUCUGCUUGCUCGCCCAUGCCCGGGGGCAGCGCCAAAGGCAAAGGAGAUGCCCACUGGUAUUGUACCAUGAGGAAAGCUGAGCGCUCCAAGCAAGUUGUCCUUCCUGCCGAUCGGAUGUUCAAGCGUGGCAUAACAAGGGACCGGUCCAUUGGACCUUCUGUUCUGGCAUUCUUUACUGGCCCCGCUGUGGACGAACUUCGCUUCCCCUUACGGACUUCUCGUUCUUGGCCCUUGGCGGGGGUUGGGUAGGUACUUGCUUGGUCCAUGCUCCUCGCAUGCUCCUCCCUUCUCCCCCGAGGUCGCCUCGAGUUGGCCCGGGGAACGAGGUGUUGACGGAGGUCGUUUCGGUGUGGAGGGUACUGGAUGGCGAGCGGUUAAACGCUUUGACCCAUCUCAGGACCACCAAAGGCGAAAGCACUCCACAGGUCUCGACCUGCCAAUCAAGAGCGAGUGUGCUGUGAUCGAAGAGGAUCAGAUACCCUCGUAGUCCGCGCUGUAAACUGUGCCUACCGAGGAUGCCAGCUGCGUUCUUCGGAAUGUCCGCUGGUGUCCUUCCCCCGCAACGAGAAAUCCAAGUGUAUGGGUUCAGGGGGGAGUACGGUUGCAAGACUGAAACUUAAAGGAAUUGACGGAAUGGCACCACAAGGCGUGGAGUGUGCGGCUUAAUUUGACUCAACACGGGGAACGUUACCUGGAUAGCACGUGGGAAGGAUAUGACAGAUGGCCGACCUCUCUCGAUGACUCGGAAAGUGGUGCAUGGUCGUUCCUGGUUGGUGAAGUGAUUUGUCUGGUUGAUUCCGAUAACGAGCGAGGUCUUCACCUUCCAGUAGCCGGCGCUCUCGCUCGCUGUAGGGCUCCUAGGUUCCCCCAGGCAAGCUUCGGCUCGCUCUGGGGGCGCCCAGCCCGAGAGUGGCGCACUGGUUGCUUCUCAGUGGGUUCGGGCAUUUGUCUAUGACAAAGUGCCCACAACCGGAAGCCGACAGCAGGUCUGUGAUGCCCUUAGAUGCCCAGGGCCGCACGCGCACGACAAUGCUGCCGUGAGUGUGCUGUACUCCCCUGUGGCAUGGGUGUCGGGGCCCACGAUGGGGGGUUCGCUCCCCGGAGUGGUGUCUUCGGCGCCCCACCCGCAGCUAUCCAGGAGUCCGUGGUUCGAAGAUGGACCGGGAAAUCCCCGAAGCCGCUCAGAGACGUGAUUGGGGCUCGGUGCUUGCUACUGUUCUCCUUCAACGAGGAAUGCCCAGUAAGUGCAUGUCAACAGCAUGCGCUGACUGCGUCCCUGCCAUUUGUACACACCGCCCGUCGUUGCUACCGAUGGCGCUGGGAUAAAGGCCUGAGGAAGCUAGUAGCGAGGUCUGUGGUGCCACACCACGGACCUCGUGAACGAAGAAUUCGGCCAAUAUCCCAUUGCUGGAGGAAGCAAAAGUCGUAACAAGGUUGCUGUAGGUGA